UACGGAGGGGGCUAGCGUUGUUCGGAAUUACUGGGCGUAAAGCGCACGUAGGCGGCUUUGUAAGUUAGAGGUGAAAUCCCGGGGCUCAACUCUGGAAUUGCCUUUAAGACUGCAUCGCUAGAAUUGUGGAGAGGUAAGUGGAAUUCCGAGUGUAGAGGUGAAAUUCGUAGAUAUUCGGAAGAACACCAGUGGCGAAGGCGACUUACUGGACACAUAUUGACGCUGAGGUGCGAAAGCGUGGGGAGCAAACAGG
This 253-nucleotide ribosomal RNA is filed under the name uncultured bacterium. RNAcentral describes it as "partial 16S ribosomal RNA". It matches the Rfam family "Bacterial small subunit ribosomal RNA", at positions 524 to 776 of the family's 1533-position model. The record is from RNAcentral.